RNAcentral lists this non-coding RNA (23 nucleotides) under Arabidopsis thaliana (thale cress). The record is from RNAcentral. Lineage: Eukaryota; Viridiplantae; Streptophyta; Magnoliopsida; Brassicales; Brassicaceae.
GUGCGCUUCAAAAUGUUUGGACG